Molecule: ribosomal RNA, 253 nt
Filed under: uncultured bacterium
Lineage: Bacteria
Description: partial 16S ribosomal RNA
Rfam family: Bacterial small subunit ribosomal RNA
Source: RNAcentral
UACGGGGGGAGCAAGCGUUGUUCGGAUUUACUGGGCGUAAAGGGCGCGUAGGCGGCGCAACAAGUCACUUGUGAAAUCUCCGGGCUUAACCCGGAGCGGUCAAGUGAUACUGUCGUGCUAGAGUGCGGAAGGGGCUACUGGAAUUCUCGGUGUAGCGGUGAAAUGCGUAGAUAUCGAGAGGAACACCUGCGGCGAAAGCGGCGCACUGGACCACAACUGACGCUGAGGCGCGAAAGCUAGGGGAGCAAACAGG